GAUGAACGCUGGCGGCGUGCCUAAUACAUGCAAGUCGAGCGAACGGACGAGAAGCUUGCUUCUCUGAUGUUAGCGGCGGACGGGUGAGUAACACGUGGAUAACCUACCUAUAAGACUGGGAUAACUUCGGGAAACCGGAGCUAAUACCGGAUAAUAUUUUGAACCGCAUGGUUCAAAAGUGAAAGACGGUCUUGCUGUCACUUAUAGAUGGAUCCGCGCUGCAUUAGCUAGUUGGUAAGGUAACGGCUUACCAAGGCAACGAUGCAUAGCCGACCUGAGAGGGUGAUCGGCCACACUGGAACUGAGACACGGUCCAGACUCCUACGGGAGGCAGCAGUAGGGAAUCUUCCGCAAUGGGCGAAAGCCUGACGGAGCAACGCCGCGUGAGUGAUGAAGGUCUUCGGAUCGUAAAACUCUGUUAUUAGGGAAGAACAUAUGUGUAAGUAACUGUGCACAUCUUGACGGUACCUAAUCAGAAAGCCACGGCUAACUACGUGCCAGCAGCCGCGGUAAUACGUAGGUGGCAAGCGUUAUCCGGAAUUAUUGGGCGUAAAGCGCGCGUAGGCGGUUUUUUAAGUCUGAUGUGAAAGCCCACGGCUCAACCGUGGAGGGUCAUUGGAAACUGGAAAACUUGAGUGCAGAAGAGGAAAGUGGAAUUCCAUGUGUAGCGGUGAAAUGCGCAGAGAUAUGGAGGAACACCAGUGGCGAAGGCGACUUUCUGGUCUGUAACUGACGCUGAUGUGCGAAAGCGUGGGGAUCAAACAGGAUUAGAUACCCUGGUAGUCCACGCCGUAAACGAUGAGUGCUAAGUGUUAGGGGGUUUCCGCCCCUUAGUGCUGCAGCUAACGCACUAAGCACUCCGCCUGGGGAGUACGACCGCAAGGUUGAAACUCAAAGGAAUUGACGGGGACCCGCACAAGCGGUGGAGCAUGUGGUUUAAUUCGAAGCAACGCGAAGAACCUUACCAAAUCUUGACAUCCUUUGACAACUCUAGAGAUAGAGCCUUCCCCUUCGGGGGACAAAGUGACAGGUGGUGCAUGGUUGUCGUCAGCUCGUGUCGUGAGAUGUUGGGUUAAGUCCCGCAACGAGCGCAACCCUUAAGCUUAGUUGCCAUCAUUAAGUUGGGCACUCUAAGUUGACUGCCGGUGACAAACCGGAGGAAGGUGGGGAUGACGUCAAAUCAUCAUGCCCCUUAUGAUUUGGGCUACACACGUGCUACAAUGGACAAUACAAAGGGCAGCGAAACCGCGAGGUCAAGCAAAUCCCAUAAAGCUGUUCUCAGUUCGGAUUGUAGUCUGCAACUCGACUACAUGAAGCUGGAAUCGCUAGUAAUCGUAGAUCAGCAUGCUACGGUGAAUACGUUCCCGGGUCU
This 1372-nucleotide ribosomal RNA is filed under the name uncultured bacterium. Its description in RNAcentral is "bacterial SSU rRNA". It matches the Rfam family "Bacterial small subunit ribosomal RNA", at positions 28 to 1381 of the family's 1533-position model. The record is from RNAcentral.